GACGAACGCUGGCGGCGUGCUUAACACAUGCAAGUCGAACGGAAAGGCCCCUUUGGGGGUACUCGAGUGGCGAACGGGUGAGUAACACGUUAGUAACCUGCCCUUGUCUUCGGGAUAACUUCAGGAAACUGGGGCUAAUACCGGAUAGGAAUCCUUGCUGCAUGGUGGGGGUUGGAAAGCUUCGGCGGUUUUGGAUGGACUCGCGGCUUAUCAGCUUGUUUGUGGGGUUGUGGCUUACCAAGGCUUUUACGGGUAGCCGGACUGAGAGGGCGACCGGCCAAAUUGGGACUGAGAGACGGCAAAGACUCCUACGGGAGGAAGAAGUGGGGAAUAUUGAAAAAUGGGCGGAAGCCUGAUGAAGCAACGCCGCGUGCGGGAUGACGGCCUUCGGGUUGUAAACCGCUUUCAGAAGGGGAGAAGCUUGUGGUGACGGUACCUGCAGAAGAAGCACCGGCUAACUACGUG
This 465-nucleotide ribosomal RNA is filed under the name uncultured bacterium. RNAcentral's name for it is "partial 16S ribosomal RNA". It matches the Rfam family "Bacterial small subunit ribosomal RNA", at positions 28 to 507 of the family's 1533-position model. The record is from RNAcentral.